Molecule: ribosomal RNA, 254 nt
Filed under: uncultured bacterium
Lineage: Bacteria
Description: partial 16S ribosomal RNA
Rfam family: Bacterial small subunit ribosomal RNA
Source: RNAcentral
UACGAGUGCCCCAAGCGUUGUCCGGAAUUAUUGGGUGUAAAGGGUGUGUAGGCUGAUUUGUUAGUCUUUUGUUAAAGAUCCCGGCUUAACCGGGAAAAAGCAGAAGAAACGGCAAAUCUUAGAGUAUGCGAGGGGUGAACGGAACUCAUAGUGUAGGGGUGAAAUCCGUUGAUAUUAUGGGGAACACCAAAAGCGAAGGCAGUUCACUGGCGCAUUACUGACGCUGAAACACGAAAGCGUGGGUAGCGAAUGGG